RNAcentral lists this transfer RNA (69 nucleotides) under Cacatua alba (White cockatoo). RNAcentral describes it as "tRNA-Met". It matches the Rfam family "tRNA". Rfam says of the family: Transfer RNA (tRNA) molecules are approximately 80 nucleotides in length. Their secondary structure includes four short double-helical elements and three loops (D, anti-codon, and T loops). Further hydrogen bonds mediate the characteristic L-shaped molecular structure. tRNAs have two regions of fundamental functional importance: the anti-codon, which is responsible for specific mRNA codon recognition, and the 3' end, to which the tRNAs corresponding amino acid is attached (by aminoacyl-tRNA synthetases). tRNAs cope with the degeneracy of the genetic code in two manners: having more than one tRNA (with a specific anti-codon) for a particular amino acid; and 'wobble' base-pairing, i.e. permitting non-standard base-pairing at the 3rd anti-codon position. Lineage: Eukaryota; Metazoa; Chordata; Aves; Psittaciformes; Cacatuidae. The record is from RNAcentral.
AGUAGUGUCAGCUAACAAAGCUAUCGGGCCCAUACCCCGAAAAUGACGGUUCAACUCCCUCCCCUACUA